Molecule: long non-coding RNA, 398 nt
Organism: Oncorhynchus keta (chum salmon)
Lineage: Eukaryota; Metazoa; Chordata; Actinopteri; Salmoniformes; Salmonidae
Exons: 4
Source: RefSeq, a predicted model, not a curated record
UCAUAGGCCUGUUAUACACCUCCAUACUAAUCAGGUAUAAUAUAUAUAUAUAUAUAUACACCCAUCAUAGGCCUGUUAUACACCUCCAUACUAAUCAGGUAUAAUAUAUAUAUAUAUAUAUACACCCAUCAUAGGCCUGUUAUACACCUCCAUACUAAUCAGGUAUAAUAUAUAUAUAUAUAUAUACACCCAUCAUAGGCCUGUUAUACACCUCCAUACUAAUCAGGUAUACUAUAUAUAUAUACACCCAUCAUAGGCCUGUUAUACACCUCCAUACUCAUCAGGUACACAUACUCCUGCUUUCUUCUCAUUCUUUCUCUCCUCUCUCUAUCCUCUAUCCUCUCGCUCUCUCUCUCUUUUUCUGUCUCUCUUUUUCUCUCUCUCUCUCUCUCUCUCUC